This 421-nucleotide ribosomal RNA is filed under the name Pecten novaezelandiae. RNAcentral's name for it is "partial 12S ribosomal RNA". It matches the Rfam family "Bacterial small subunit ribosomal RNA", at positions 874 to 1495 of the family's 1533-position model. Lineage: Eukaryota; Metazoa; Mollusca; Bivalvia; Pectinida; Pectinidae. The record is from RNAcentral.
GCGCGGCUGCUUGGGUACUACGAGCGAGUGCUUAAAACUCAAAGAACUUGGCGGCUUGUUAACUACCUAGGGGAAUAUGCGCCUUAAUCCGAUGAUCCCCGUUAUAUCUUACUGAGCCUUGAAAAAGUGCAGCUGGUGUAUUGCCGUUGUCAGCUUGUUGUUCGAGCAAAGAGAAACAGGCUUAAUGGAUCCUGGUGAUUACUUUCACGGGAAUCCAUGAAUUCAGGUCGUAAUACUGCCUAUGGCUCAAGGGAGCGGGUGUUACAAUUCAUAUUUGGAAUUACGGAUCCUCAUCGUGGAAUCUUGGGGUGAAGGUGAACUUAGGAGUAAGGAUAGAUUAAUAUGCUUUCCUGAACAUGAAUCUAACUCGUGUACAAACUGCCCGUCGCUCUCGGCGAGAGCUGAGAUAAGUCGUAACAGG